UGGUCUGUAGCUCAGGUGGUAGAGCGUCCGCCUCCAAAGCGGAAUGUCGCGGGUUCGAAUCCUGCCGGGCCAG
Molecule: transfer RNA, 73 nt
Filed under: Kitasatospora acidiphila
Lineage: Bacteria; Bacillati; Actinomycetota; Actinomycetes; Kitasatosporales; Streptomycetaceae
Also listed under: 1 other name
Description: tRNA-Trp
Rfam family: tRNA
About the family: Transfer RNA (tRNA) molecules are approximately 80 nucleotides in length. Their secondary structure includes four short double-helical elements and three loops (D, anti-codon, and T loops). Further hydrogen bonds mediate the characteristic L-shaped molecular structure. tRNAs have two regions of fundamental functional importance: the anti-codon, which is responsible for specific mRNA codon recognition, and the 3' end, to which the tRNAs corresponding amino acid is attached (by aminoacyl-tRNA synthetases). tRNAs cope with the degeneracy of the genetic code in two manners: having more than one tRNA (with a specific anti-codon) for a particular amino acid; and 'wobble' base-pairing, i.e. permitting non-standard base-pairing at the 3rd anti-codon position.
Source: RNAcentral